RNAcentral lists this long non-coding RNA (225 nucleotides) under Gossypium barbadense (sea-island cotton). Its description in RNAcentral is "long non-coding RNA (GBAR_LNC021898)". The record is from RNAcentral. Lineage: Eukaryota; Viridiplantae; Streptophyta; Magnoliopsida; Malvales; Malvaceae.
UUGUUAUGCCUUAGUGAUCCCUCAAUGGUUUAUAUGGAGAGUCCGUAGUCAAUGGGCAAAAGUAAGUUGCUUCCAGUGGAUAGCUGACCACAAGUGACAUCGGAUGAAUGUCCAACAUAAAGAAUGCAAGGCAGGAGGCCACUGGCUAAGUCAUCCAUGGGUCGUAACUAACGAAGGGUUCUUCAUUGAUAAUCAUGUCUUACCACAUGUCAUGAAGGAGUGGAU